CACAGUGACUCACCCUCUUUGUGCUAGAUUAAGAAGAUGCUAUCUGUGUUUUUUGACUGGGCUUGAUUGUUAUCAAAGUGGGUGAUGAACAGCCUUCUAAGCUGUUCAAAUGAGUGAAUGGACUCCAGUUGGAGUCCCAAACACCACACUCAUGCUGACUUCUUAAGGAUGUUCGGGAAGAUGAGGUAAAGGAGCACAUUCGAGCAUCGUAGAGCAUCAUGAGGGCUUUAUAGCUCUUCAAGUGGUUGAUG
This 251-nucleotide long non-coding RNA is filed under the name Elaeis guineensis (African oil palm). RNAcentral describes it as "long non-coding RNA (EGUI_LNC003136)". The record is from RNAcentral. Lineage: Eukaryota; Viridiplantae; Streptophyta; Magnoliopsida; Arecales; Arecaceae.